Molecule: long non-coding RNA, 223 nt
Filed under: Elaeis guineensis (African oil palm)
Lineage: Eukaryota; Viridiplantae; Streptophyta; Magnoliopsida; Arecales; Arecaceae
Description: long non-coding RNA (EGUI_LNC027743)
Source: RNAcentral
UCUUCUUUGAAUCUGAGCGGGAUAGGGAUUUGAGACCUCAUUGGAGUCUUAAAUCCCAUCUAUAAAAGCCAUUCCCUCCCCCUUUAGGUAAAUCCACCCCUUAGUUGUGAGCUAUUGCUGAUGAAAACCAAUCAGAUUUUCCUGAUUCUUUGAAAAUUAUUCUCCAUGAUUCGCCAUUGAUCCACUGCUGGAGUCAAGGUAAGAGAAUCCCAACCCCAUCUCC